RNAcentral lists this non-coding RNA (28 nucleotides) under Cricetulus griseus (Chinese hamster). Lineage: Eukaryota; Metazoa; Chordata; Mammalia; Rodentia; Cricetidae. The record is from RNAcentral.
AAGUUAGCUGAACUAGACAAACUCGGCA